CCUACGGGAGGCAGCAGUGAGGAAUAUUGGUCAAUGGGCGGGAGCCUGAACCAGCCAAGUCGCGUGAGGGAUGACGGCCCUAUGGGUUGUAAACCUCUUUUGCCGGGGAGCAAAGUGCCGCACGUGUGCGGUUUGGAGAGUACCCGGAGAAAAAGCAUCGGCUAACUCCGUGCCAGCAGCCGCGGUAAUACGGAGGAUGCGAGCGUUAUCCGGAUUUAUUGGGUUUAAAGGGAGCGUAGGUGGAUUGUUAAGUCAGUUGUGAAAGUUUGCGGCUCAACCGUAAAAUUGCAGUUGAAACUGGCAGUCUUGAGUACAGUAGAGGUGGGCGGAAUUCGUGGUGUAGCGGUGAAAUGCUUAGAUAUCACGAAGAACUCCGAUUGCGAAGGCAGCUCACUGGACUGCAACUGACACUGAGGCUCGAAAGUGUGGGUAUCAAACAGGAUUAGAUACCCGUGUAGUC
This 460-nucleotide ribosomal RNA is filed under the name uncultured bacterium. RNAcentral describes it as "partial 16S ribosomal RNA". It matches the Rfam family "Bacterial small subunit ribosomal RNA", at positions 338 to 795 of the family's 1533-position model. The record is from RNAcentral.